CGCCGUAAACGAUGAAUACUAGGUGUCGGGGGUCGAACCUCGGUGCCGCAGUUAACACAAUAAGUAUUCCGCCUGGGGAGUACGAUCGCAAGAUUAAAACUCAAAGGAAUUGACGGGGGCCCGCACAAGCAGCGGAGCAUGUGGUUUAAUUCGAAGCAACGCGAAGAACCUUACCUAGACUUGACAUCCCCUGCAUAACCCAGAGAUGGGCGAAGUCCUUCGGGACAGGGUGACAGGUGGUGCAUGGUUGUCGUCAGCUCGUGUCGUGAGAUGUUGGGUUAAGUCCCGCAACGAGCGCAACCCUUAUCAUUAGUUGCUACCAUUAAGUUGAGCACUCUAGUGAGACUGCCCGGGUUAACCGGGAGGAAGGUGGGGAUGACGUCAAAUCAUCAUGCCCCUUAUGUCUAGGGCUACACACGUGCUACAAUGAUGAGUACAAAGAGAUGCAAGAUCGCAAGGUGGAGCCAAACUCAAAAACUCAUCCCAGUUCGGAUUGUAGGCUGCAACUCGCCUACAUGAAGCCGGAGUUGCUAGUAAUCGCGAAUCAGCAUGUCGCGGUGAAUACGUUCCCGGGCCUUGUACACACCGCCCGUCACACCAUGAGAGUUGGUAACACCCGAAGUCCGUGAGGUAACCGUAAGGAGCCAGCGGCCGAAGGUGGGGUUGAUGAUUGGGGUGAAGUCGUAACAAGGUAACCGUA
Molecule: ribosomal RNA, 700 nt
Filed under: uncultured bacterium
Lineage: Bacteria
Description: bacterial SSU rRNA
Rfam family: Bacterial small subunit ribosomal RNA
Source: RNAcentral